This 466-nucleotide ribosomal RNA is filed under the name uncultured bacterium. Its description in RNAcentral is "partial 16S ribosomal RNA". It matches the Rfam family "Bacterial small subunit ribosomal RNA", at positions 28 to 507 of the family's 1533-position model. The record is from RNAcentral.
GAUGAACGCUGGCGGCGUGCUUAACACAUGCAAGUCGAACGAUGAAGCCCAGCUUGCUGGGUGGAUUAGUGGCGAACGGGUGAGUAACACGUGAGUAACCUGCCCUUAACUCUGGGAUAAGCCUGGGAAACUGGGUCUAAUACCGGAUAGGAGCGUCCACCGCAUGGUGGGUGUUGGAAAGAUUUAUCGGUUUUGGAUGGACUCGCGGCCUAUCAGCUUGUUGGUGAGGUAAUGGCUCACCAAGGCGACGACGGGUAGCCGGCCUGAGAGGGUGACCGGCCACACUGGGACUGAGACACGGCCCAGACGCCUACGGGAGGCAGCAGUGGGGAAUAUUGCACAAUGGGCGAAAGCCUGAUGCAGCGACGCCGCGUGAGGGAUGACGGCCUUCGGGUUGUAAACCUCUUUCAGUAGGGAAGAAGCGAAAGUGACGGUACCUGCAGAAGAAGCACCGGCUAACUACGUG